CUCCACCCUUCACUCGCCUCAUUGUGCCCAGGCAGCACCAAGGUCAGAAAUUAAUUGGAGACACUGCAAAACACACAGCCUGUAAUAUUUCAGUUCAGUGAGGUCACAAGAAAAACUCAGUUAAAGCCUUAUUAGAGCAGUUUACAGGAGCACAUUACUGCGAAUAUGAAAUGAGAGUCUUGUCUUGAUGGAUGCGUCACCUACCCAAGAUAUUUGUUGAGAAUAAUUUGAAAAUCACCCCCGUACAUGGUUGUAUAUUCUUCGUUGUGGGUCCUUCUAGUUGUGGCAUGUGGGACGCUGCCUCAGCGUGGUUUGACGAGCAGUGCCAUGUCCGCGCCCAGGAUUCGAACCAACGAAACACUGGGCCGCCUGCAGCGGAGCGCGCGAACUUAACCACUCGGCCACGGGGCCAGCCCCUGCAAUUAAUAUUUUUAUCCGGCCCAAGAAUCCUCUACCUACGGCUGGCAGAUGAAGAAAAGAAAUCGGAGGAGGCACACUGUCUACAGGAAUGCGAUGACCCCUGGGCAGAGAGCCUGUGCUGAUAGUGAUCAUCAAUGACGACUGAAAGAUCACGGUAUAGGGCAGCUGCUGCAUUCUCUGACGCAUAUCCAGUAAAACAAAGGACUAUGAGGAACUGGGACUGGAUGUCUGCCCCACCCAGAGACCAGCCACCUCCCCCACCUGGAGACCAGCCCCGUAUAUAACUGGCCUUGUAGUCUUUGUUCUGGGAGAUGUUUCUUUUAACAUGAGUCGGCCAUCUUCCCUCUUGCUAGCAAGCUGUAAUAAAGUCC
This 791-nucleotide long non-coding RNA is filed under the name Equus caballus (horse). RNAcentral describes it as "lncRNA (ENSECAG00000057533.1)". Lineage: Eukaryota; Metazoa; Chordata; Mammalia; Perissodactyla; Equidae. The record is from RNAcentral.